Molecule: ribosomal RNA, 497 nt
Filed under: uncultured bacterium
Lineage: Bacteria
Description: partial 16S ribosomal RNA
Rfam family: Bacterial small subunit ribosomal RNA
Source: RNAcentral
GAUGAACGCUGGCGGCGUGCCUAAUACAUGCAAGUCGAGCGAACGGACGAGAAGCUUGCUUCUCUGAUGUUAGCGGCGGACGGGUGAGUAACACGUGGAUAACCUACCUAUAAGACUGGGAUAACUUCGGGAAACCGGAGCUAAUACCGGAUGAUAUUUUGAACCGCAUGGUUCAAAAGUGAAAGACGGUCUUGCUGUCACUUAUAGAUGGAUCCGCGCUGCAUUAGCUAGUUGGUAAGGUAACGGCUUACCAAGGCAACGAUGCAUAGCCGACCUGAGAGGAUGAUCGGCCACACUGGAACUGAGACACGGUCCAGACUCCUACGGGAGGCAGCAGUAGGGAAUCUUCCGCAAUGGGCGAAAGCCUGACGGAGCAACGCCGCGUGAGUGAUGAAGGUCCUCGGAUCGUAAAACUCUGUUAUUAGGGAAGAACAUAUGUGUAAGUAACUGUGCACAUCUUGACGGUACCUAAUCAGAAAGCCACGGCUAACUACGUG